Molecule: long non-coding RNA, 3022 nt
Organism: Vespa velutina
Lineage: Eukaryota; Metazoa; Arthropoda; Insecta; Hymenoptera; Vespidae
Exons: 4
Source: RefSeq, a predicted model, not a curated record
AUCCAAGAAAUAAUACGAUUUUUUUGUUUUUUGAUUUUUCAUUUCGUACAACAUCGCGCAUUUCGUGCAGGAAAAGAAGAAGAAGAAGAAGAAGAAGAAAAAAAAAUAUUCUAUAGUUAUCAACCUCGUCAUUUAUCAAGAAUGAUACGUUCCACAUAACGAAUAUUUGUCCUUCCUUUUUUCUUAUUCUUUUUCUUUUUAAUUUAUUUUUUCUUUCUUUCGUUAGUUCGUUCGUUCGUUCGUUCGACAAUGUCCACGUGGUGCGUAAAUAUCUACACGUUCUAACAUAUUCAAUAUCGAGUGACUUUAAACGUGAUAACAAUGUCCAUUAAAUGUUUCAUUCAGUUUACCUUGGAACUGAACAGGUAGCGAAUGCUAAUAAGAUGUUAAUUUAGAUGCCGUCGUUGAAUCGAGAUGAAACGUUCAUUCUUAGUCAAAUAUUUAUCUACAAUAACGGGAGUGUUCGUUGUUUGUUAGAAAAAUUUUAUCGUUUAAUGGAUUCACAAACUCCUUUUUCAUUUUUUUCGUUAUUUAAAUUAUAUUAUAACUAAUAACGAACAACAGGAUAAAGAAGGUAUUACAUUUUUUCCGACGAAAUUAUACAUAUUAUAAGAAAUUAAAAAAACGAGUUCGGUGACUAUUUAAAUGUUAUGAAUAUAUAUUAUUGAUUAUCUUUAUUGAUCGAGUCAUUUUUAGAGGACACAAAAACUAUUAUAUAUUUCUUUAAUUCAUUGAAUAAUUGAAUGGUAUUUUUUUUUUUUUUUUUUUUUUUUUUUCUAUAAAUAUUUAUCAAAACCCCACCCCUACCCCGUCCACCCUUCCCUCCAAGUUCUAUCCGAUGUCAAGUUCUUUAACCUUACGUGUCAAUUAUUUUCAUUGUUGCAUUAUUUUUCUUUUCUUUCUUCUUCUUUUUUUUUUUUAUCUUUUAUUACUUUCAUAUAACAAUCCUACAAAUUGCGCUCGUAAAUUUGGACACUCGAAACUUUUAAUACGUCCACUUUCGAGCAUGCAUUAAAAGGUGGUUUGAAAAUCGUGCCAAGAAAGUAUCAAUUUGACGUACGAUGAAGCCAUUUUCAGCGGACUCAUAUGGAUCUCGAGUCAUUCGGUAAACAGCUGUUGGCUCGGAUCCUCUCCUUUUAAGUGACUCUCGUUGGAACAACAAAACUUGGAAGAACGUCGACAAGGAUAGAGUUAUUUUCGUUGUAAUUAAGUGAGAACGAGAGCCUCUCGUAAGAGAUCUUAAGAAGAAGAAGAAGAAGAAGAAGAAGAAGAAGAAGAAGAAGAAUUUAACAGAGUCAGUCAAUUUGGGCAGUACGUUAAUUGGUUAAUUCGUGGCCGAGCGUAUCCGAUAACCGAUGUCUCGCUCUGAGGAGGAUCAUCGAAGGAUGUCGUUCGUCCUUAACUUGGCCAAUUCGAGAUAACUCGAAAGGAUCGGCUUGGAUCGAUCGAUCGUCGUACAGGGAAAAAAGAGGAAGAAGAAAAAGAAGUGGAAGUGGAAGUGGAAGUGGAAGUGGAAGAGAAAGAAGAAGAAGAAGAAGAAGAAGAAAAAGGGCAAUCUUGAAUCUUCAACGAUAAUCCGCACGACGAUUUUACUUUUCUAUGACAAAUUUCUCCAAUACGUGACCAAGUUCGCAGCGAUGACUAGCGGACAAAGGAACAGAUCUGUCGUACAUCCGGAACAACGUUACGGUUACAUGCCCUGCCCUUUGUACGAUACAGCCGAUAACCGAUGCAAAAUCGCUGGGAAGUGUAUUUUCUCUUUUAUUUUUUAUUUUUCUUUUUUUUUUCUUUUCUUUUUUUUUUUUUUUUUACUUUUCUUCUUCCGCAAUGAUUCGUAAUAAUCGAUAUAAUAUAAAUGGAACAAUGUCGAUCUAAUUAUUCGUAUAGUUCCUAUAACAUCGUUUAUCUAUUUAAUAUUGUUUCAGCAUGUUAAUCUAGGUAUUAUCUAAGAUAUUUUAAUAUCUAUACAAUAGAUGAUAAUUUGUCAACGAUAUUCUUAUUGAUUAUUUACACGUUGAUUAUUCGAACACAUUGUUGAUACUUAAACAUAUCAUUAUCGAUAUUCUUUCAGGUUAAUGUUUGACCUAUCUAUCAAUCUAUCCAUCUAUCCAUCUAUCCAGCCAUUCAUCCAUCGAUCCAUCUAUAUAUCUAUCUAUCUAUCUAUCUAUGUAUCUAUGUAUCUAUCUAUUUAUUACGAUUCUUGAGUGAAAGGAUAUGAAUGUCUAGGACUUAAACUGCGUAGAAGAAACGAGUUUUUCAUAAUGCUAAUAUGAUUCACGUCUUGCACAUAAAUUGAUUUAAUAGAUCACAUAUUAUCACGUUUAACUUCGUAUAUUCGUAUUAACGGAGAUAUUUGUGUAUCAUUUAAAAAAAAUCGAUUACCGAGAGAGACAUUAGAAUAUUAAACGAUAGCAUUCGAAAUUGUAUAUAGUCAUUAAAUACCGUCGUAGAUAUUACACGAAUCCAUUAUAGUCGUUAAUUUACAUACUCAUUUACGAUCAUUAAUCGUUCAAACGUUUCUUUCUAAUUUUUUUUUUUUUUUGCUUUUUUCACACUUCUAACCCUAUCGCUCUCAAUUCUCUCGUUCAAAUUUACUCCAUGGCUUUUCUUUUUUGUUUAUAUAUAUAUAUAUAUAUAAAAUCAAAGAGAUGCCACGAGAUCGAUAAUAAGAUCGAAAAUAAUAAUUUAAUUCGAUCGAAUUAAUUUUUAUGUAUUAAUUUCGAUCGUCUUACGAAACAAGUGGAAAAAGAUAAUCAUCCGUACAAUUAUUGAUUCGUACUACUUGGAUUCUCGGGUAACACACACACACACACACACACGCACACACACAUAUGUACAAAUGUAAUAGCAAAGUAUAAAAAAUCGAUAGUUCUUGGUAGUAGGAAAAGUAAUGGUCAAUGCUGACCUUUAAGUAAACAUAGAGAGCACGUUCAUUUCGUAUCGAGGAAAUAGGAAAAAUUGACGGAAAAAGAGAGACAGAUAGUUACAGAGUGCGAGAGAGAGAGAGAGAGAGAGAGAGAGA